RNAcentral lists this ribosomal RNA (791 nucleotides) under uncultured bacterium. RNAcentral describes it as "bacterial SSU rRNA". It matches the Rfam family "Bacterial small subunit ribosomal RNA", at positions 61 to 819 of the family's 1533-position model. The record is from RNAcentral.
GUCGAACGAAAAGAGGGAAAGAGCUUGCUCUUUCCGGAAUUGAGUGGCAAACGGGUGAGUAACACGUAAACAACCUGCCUUCAGGAUGGGGACAACAGACGGAAACGACUGCUAAUACCGAAUAAGUUCCAAGAGCCGCAUGGCCCAUGGAAGAAAAGGUGGCCUCUACCUGUAAGCUAUCGCCUGAAGAGGGGUUUGCGUCUGAUUAGCUGGUUGGAGGGGUAACGGCCCACCAAGGCGACGAUCAGUAGCCGGUCUGAGAGGAUGAACGGCCACACUGGAACUGAGACACGGUCCAGACUCCUACGGGAGGCAGCAGUGGGGAAUCUUCCGCAAUGGGCGAAAGCCUGACGGAGCAACGCCGCGUGAGUGAUGACGGCCUUCGGGUUGUAAAACUCUGUGAUCCGGGACGAAAAGGCAGAGUGCGAAGAACAAACUGCAUUGACGGUACCGGAAAAGCAAGCCACGGCUAACUACGUGCCAGCAGCCGCGGUAAUACGUAGGUGGCAAGCGUUGUCCGGAAUUAUUGGGCGUAAAGCGCGCGCAGGCGGCUUCCCAAGUCCCUCUUAAAAGUGCGGGGCUUAACCCCGUGAUGGGAAGGAAACUGGGAAGCUGGAGUAUCGGAGAGGAAAGUGGAAUUCCUAGUGUAGCGGUGAAAUGCGUAGAGAUUAGGAAGAACACCGGUGGCGAAGGCGACUUUCUGGACGAAAACUGACGCUGAGGCGCGAAAGCGUGGGGAGCAAACAGGAUUAGAUACCCUGGUAGUCCACGCCGUAAACGAUGGAUACUAG